UACGGGGGGGGCAAGCGUUGUUCGGAAUUACUGGGCGUAAGGGCUCGUAGGCGGCCAACUAAGUCAUACGUGAAAUCCCCCGGCUUAACCGGGGAACUGCGUCUGAUACUGGAUGGCUUGAGUUCGGGAGAGGGAUGCGGAAUUCCAGGUGUAGCGGUGAAAUGCGUAGAUAUCUGGAGGAACACCGGUGGCGAAGGCGGCAUCCUGGACCGAUACUGACGCUGAGGAGCGAAAGCCAGGGGAGCAAACGGG
Molecule: ribosomal RNA, 252 nt
Filed under: uncultured bacterium
Lineage: Bacteria
Description: partial 16S ribosomal RNA
Rfam family: Bacterial small subunit ribosomal RNA
Source: RNAcentral